RNAcentral lists this non-coding RNA (90 nucleotides) under human gut metagenome. RNAcentral's name for it is "TPP riboswitch (THI element)". It matches the Rfam family "TPP riboswitch aptamer (THI element)", at positions 11 to 88 of the family's 105-position model. Rfam says of the family: Vitamin B(1) in its active form thiamin pyrophosphate (TPP) is an essential coenzyme that is synthesised by coupling of pyrimidine and thiazole moieties in bacteria. The record is from RNAcentral.
UUUGACGGGGUGCUGGCGAUUAAGCCGGCUGAGAUGGUGCAAAUGCACCGGACCCGAGAACCUGAUCUGGGUAAUGCCAGCGUAGGAAGC